GGUGGCUCAGUGGUAGAACACUUGCCUGGCAUGCAUGAGGUCCUGGGUUCGAUUCCUCAGCACCA
This 65-nucleotide transfer RNA is filed under the name Dipodomys ordii (Ord's kangaroo rat). It matches the Rfam family "tRNA". From Rfam's summary of the family: Transfer RNA (tRNA) molecules are approximately 80 nucleotides in length. The record is from Rfam by way of RNAcentral. Lineage: Eukaryota; Metazoa; Chordata; Mammalia; Rodentia; Heteromyidae.